UAGUGGCGCACGGGUGCGUAACGCGUAACCAACCUACCCCACAUCUGGGGGAUAGCCCGCCGAAAGGCGGAUUAAUACCGCAUAAAACUGCAGCCCGGCAUCGGGCAACGGUUAAAGAUUUAUUGGAUGUGGAUGGGGUUGCGUGCCAUUAGCUAGUUGGGGGGGUAACGGCCCACCAAGGCGACGAUGGCUAGGGGAGCUGAGAGGCUGGUCCCCCACACGGGCACUGAGAUACGGGCCCG
RNAcentral lists this ribosomal RNA (242 nucleotides) under uncultured bacterium. RNAcentral describes it as "partial 16S ribosomal RNA". It matches the Rfam family "Bacterial small subunit ribosomal RNA", at positions 93 to 334 of the family's 1533-position model. The record is from RNAcentral.